AAAUUGAAGAGUUUGAUCAUGGCUCAGAUUGAACGCUGGCGGCAGGCCUAACACAUGCAAGUCGAACGGUAACAGGAAGCAGCUUGCUGCUUCGCUGACGAGUGGCGGACGGGUGAGUAAUGUCUGGGAAACUGCCUGAUGGAGGGGGAUAACUACUGGAAACGGUGGCUAAUACCGCAUAACGUCGCAAGACCAAAGAGGGGGACCUUCGGGCCUCUUGCCAUCAGAUGUGCCCAGAUGGGAUUAGCUAGUUGGUGAGGUAACGGCUCACCAAGGCGACGAUCCCUAGCUGGUCUGAGAGGAUGACCAGCCACACUGGAACUGAGACACGGUCCAGACUCCUACGGGAGGCAGCAGUGGGGAAUAUUGCACAAUGGGCGCAAGCCUGAUGCAGCCAUGCCGCGUGUAUGAAGAAGGCCUUCGGGUUGUAAAGUACUUUCAGCGGGGAGGAAGGUGUUGUGGUUAAUAACCACAGCAAUUGACGUUACCCGCAGAAGAAGCACCGGCUAACUCCGUGCCAGCAGCCGCGGUAAUACGGAGGGUGCAAGCGUUAAUCGGAAUUACUGGGCGUAAAGCGCACGCAGGCGGUCUGUCAAGUCGGAUGUGAAAUCCCCGGGCUCAACCUGGGAACUGCAUUCGAAACUGGCAGGCUUGAGUCUUGUAGAGGGGGGUAGAAUUCCAGGUGUAGCGGUGAAAUGCGUAGAGAUCUGGAGGAAUACCGGUGGCGAAGGCGGCCCCCUGGACAAAGACUGACGCUCAGGUGCGAAAGCGUGGGGAGCAAACAGGAUUAGAUACCCUGGUAGUCCACGCCGUAAACGAUGUCUACUUGGAGGUUGUGCCCUUGAGGCGUGGCUUCCGGAGCUAACGCGUUAAGUAGACCGCCUGGGGAGUACGGCCGCAAGGUUAAAACUCAAAUGAAUUGACGGGGGCCCGCACAAGCGGUGGAGCAUGUGGUUUAAUUCGAUGCAACGCGAAGAACCUUACCUGGUCUUGACAUCCACAGAACUUUCCAGAGAUGGAUUGGUGCCUUCGGGAACUGUGAGACAGGUGCUGCAUGGCUGUCGUCAGCUCGUGUUGUGAAAUGUUGGGUUAAGUCCCGCAACGAGCGCAACCCUUAUCCUUUGUUGCCAGCGAUUAGGUCGGGAACUCAAAGGAGACUGCCAGUGAUAAACUGGAGGAAGGUGGGGAUGACGUCAAGUCAUCAUGGCCCUUACGACCAGGGCUACACACGUGCUACAAUGGCGCAUACAAAGAGAAGCGACCUCGCGAGAGCAAGCGGACCUCAUAAAGUGCGUCGUAGUCCGGAUUGGAGUCUGCAACUCGACUCCAUGAAGUCGGAAUCGCUAGUAAUCGUGGAUCAGAAUGCCACGGUGAAUACGUUCCCGGGCCUUGUACACACCGCCCGUCACACCAUGGGAGUGGGUUGCAAAAGAAGUAGGUAGCUUAACCUUCGGGAGGGCGCUUACCACUUUGUGAUUCAUGACUGGGGUGAAGUCGUAACAAGGUAACCGUAGGGGAACCUGCGGUUGGAUCACCUCCUUACCUUAAAGAA
RNAcentral lists this ribosomal RNA (1552 nucleotides) under Salmonella enterica subsp. enterica serovar Blockley. Its description in RNAcentral is "bacterial SSU rRNA". It matches the Rfam family "Bacterial small subunit ribosomal RNA". The record is from RNAcentral. RNAcentral also lists the same sequence under 2 other names. Lineage: Bacteria; Pseudomonadati; Pseudomonadota; Gammaproteobacteria; Enterobacterales; Enterobacteriaceae.